RNAcentral lists this non-coding RNA (27 nucleotides) under Rattus norvegicus (Norway rat). The record is from RNAcentral. Lineage: Eukaryota; Metazoa; Chordata; Mammalia; Rodentia; Muridae.
UGAGAAGAGAAUACAAUACGUAUGUGC